GUCAGGGGGUACCCUCGGGAGUCACCGGGGACCUCAGGCGCCGCUAGACCGGCUCAGGGACUCUAGGGGGUGGGGCUACCUUACUAAUGGCCCGUUCUGCCAGCAGGUGAUUUCCUGCUUCUGCCUUGAAAUAAAGGCUAACAUCAGGAGAAAGCAGAACCCGGUGUCUCCAAACCUGGAUUAGCAUGGCCGUGUGAGGAGGCAGGAGAGAAACCAUUUCACCUAGGAACCACAUGGAUUGAAAAUUGUAAAGUCACACUCAUGAAACCCCAUGAAAGCAGAACCACCAUUCUCCCUGUAUACCGUUCCGCAUCUGGACUGUGCUCGGUGCUGCCCAGUGAUGACAGGGAAGCCUGGCAACUCAUCAAAUGACAAGCAAGUGGACACCGUAAACUCUGACGUUAUGCAAUGCUCAUAAUCUCCCCUGAGAUGACAUCUAUUAAAAGCUGCUUGAUACCAGAGUAUUUUUAUGAAGAAUACAAAAAAGUGGACAUAAGUAAAACAUUUGAGGACUGUAACCUGUUGAGACUGCUACUCUUACCAUGUGAACUUGAGAGAAUCAGAUUGUUUCCAUUUCCUGACUUCUAGGUAGAGGGGUAUUUGAAACUGCCAAAUGUUUCAAAGGUCAUUAUCAAGGGAUUAAUAAAGUAAAAUUUAAAAUUCCUUAGAUCUUGAAG
This 677-nucleotide long non-coding RNA is filed under the name Vulpes vulpes (red fox). RNAcentral describes it as "lncRNA (ENSVVUG00000001246.1)". The record is from RNAcentral. Lineage: Eukaryota; Metazoa; Chordata; Mammalia; Carnivora; Canidae.